This is a long non-coding RNA of Pyrus x bretschneideri (Chinese white pear), 295 nucleotides long. RefSeq lists it as uncharacterized. Lineage: Eukaryota; Viridiplantae; Streptophyta; Magnoliopsida; Rosales; Rosaceae. The record is from RefSeq and is a predicted model, not a curated record. The transcript is spliced from 2 exons.
UUACAUCAUUUUUCUAAUUUGGAAUCGAGGAAGUCGAGCGUGGGCUUUGGGUUUCUUGGUUGAGUUCAGAUUUGUGAGUUCUGAUUUUGAAGAGAGGGAGGAGGAGAGAGCUGUCUACCUCAUUCCCUACAGGAGGCUCGAACAUAGGAGAAUCGCAGUGGAGGGGUCCUGUAGACUGCUUCGACGGAGGGGGACGAAGCUCACUGAACUCUCAGAGAACUCAUCAUCUAUCCUCUCCUUUAUAGCCGUCAAGCCCAAAAGCUCGGUCUUUAUGUAAACACCUCAAAAACCCAAC